RNAcentral lists this ribosomal RNA (101 nucleotides) under Tricholoma luteomaculosum. Its description in RNAcentral is "5.8S ribosomal RNA". It matches the Rfam family "5.8S ribosomal RNA", at positions 2 to 102 of the family's 154-position model. From Rfam's summary of the family: 5.8S ribosomal RNA (5.8S rRNA) is a component of the large subunit of the eukaryotic ribosome. It is transcribed by RNA polymerase I as part of the 45S precursor that also contains 18S and 28S rRNA. Functionally, it is thought that 5.8S rRNA may be involved in ribosome translocation. Lineage: Eukaryota; Fungi; Basidiomycota; Agaricomycetes; Agaricales; Tricholomataceae. The record is from RNAcentral.
ACUUUCAACAACGGAUCUCUUGGCUCUCGCAUCGAUGAAGAACGCAGCGAAAUGCGAUAAGUAAUGUGAAUUGCAGAAUUCAGUGAAUCAUCGAAUCUUUG